This 497-nucleotide ribosomal RNA is filed under the name uncultured bacterium. RNAcentral describes it as "partial 16S ribosomal RNA". It matches the Rfam family "Bacterial small subunit ribosomal RNA", at positions 28 to 507 of the family's 1533-position model. The record is from RNAcentral.
GAUGAACGCUGGCGGCGUGCCUAAUACAUGCAAGUCGAGCGAACGGACGAGGAGCUUGCUCCUUUGACGUUAGCGGCGGACGGGUGAGUAACACGUAGGUAACCUACCUAUAAGACUGGGAUAACUUCGGGAAACCGGAGCUAAUACCGGAUAAUAUUUCGAACCGCAUGGUUCGAUAGUGAAAGAUGGCUUUGCUAUCACUUAUAGAUGGACCUGCGCCGUAUUAGCUAGUUGGUAAGGUAACGGCUUACCAAGGCAACGAUACGUAGCCGACCUGAGAGGGUGAUCGGCCACACUGGAACUGAGACACGGUCCAGACUCCUACGGGAGGCAGCAGUAGGGAAUCUUCCGCAAUGGGCGAAAGCCUGACGGAGCAACGCCGCGUGAGUGAUGAAGGUCUUCGGAUCGUAAAACUCUGUUAUUAGGGAAGAACAAACGUGUAAGUAACUGUGCACGUCUUGACGGUACCUAAUCAGAAAGCCACGGCUAACUACGUG